Molecule: ribosomal RNA, 433 nt
Filed under: uncultured bacterium
Lineage: Bacteria
Description: partial 16S ribosomal RNA
Rfam family: Bacterial small subunit ribosomal RNA
Source: RNAcentral
AACGAACGCUGGCGGCAUGCCUAACACAUGCAAGUCGAACGAGACCUUCGGGUCUAGUGGCGCACGGGUGCGUAACGCGUGGGAACCUGCCCUUAGGUUCGGCAUAACUCCCCGAAAGGGGUGCUAAUACCGGAUAAUGUCUUCGGACCAAAGAUUUAUCGCCUUUGGAUGGGCCCGCGUUGGAUUAGCUAGUUGGUAGGGUAAAAGCCUACCAAGGCGACGAUCCAUGGCUGGUCUGAGAGGCUGAUCAGCCACACUGGGACUGAGACACGGCCCAGACUCCUACGGGAGGCAGCAGUGGGGAAUAUUGGACAAUGGGCGAAAGCCUGAUCCAGCAAUGACGCGUGAGUGAUGAAGGCCUUAGGGUUGUAAAGCGCUUUUACCCGGGAUGAUAAUGACAGUACCGGGAGAAUAAGCCCCGGCUAACUCCGUG